This 748-nucleotide ribosomal RNA is filed under the name Vairimorpha ceranae. RNAcentral describes it as "bacterial SSU rRNA". It matches the Rfam family "Microsporidia small subunit ribosomal RNA", at positions 52 to 840 of the family's 1311-position model. Lineage: Eukaryota; Fungi; Microsporidia; Nosematidae. The record is from RNAcentral.
GCAUGUUUUUGACAUUUGAAAAAUGGACUGCUCAGUAAUACUCACUUUAUUUUAUGUAAAUUUUUGAUUAAUUAACUACGUUAAAGUGUAGAUAAGAUGUUUACAGUAAGAGUGAGACCUAUCAGCUAGUUGUUAAGGUAAUGGCUUAACAAGGCUGUGACGGGUAACGGUAUUACUUUGUAAUAUUCCGGAGAAGGAGCCUGAGAGACGGCUACUAAGUCUAAGGAUUGCAGCAGGGGCGAAACUUGACCUAUGGAUUUUAUCUGAGGCAGUUAUGGGAAGUAAUAUUAUAUUGUUUCAUAUUUUAAAAGUAUAUGAGGUGAUUAAUUGGAGGGCAAAUCAAGUGCCAGCAGCCGCGGUAAUACUUGUUCCAAGAGUGUGUAUGAUGAUUGAUGCAGUUAAAAAGUCCGUAGUUUAUUUUUUAAGAAGCAAUAUGAGGUGUACUGUAUAGUUGGGAGAAAGAUGAAAUGUGACGACCCUGACUGGACGAACAGAAGCGAAAGCUGUACACUUGUAUGUAUUUUUUGAACAAGGACGUAAGCUGGAGGAGCGAAGAUGAUUAGAUACCAUUGUAGUUCCAGCAGUAAACUAUGCCGACGAUGUGAUAUGAAAAUAUUAAUUUGUAUUACAUAAUAGAAAUUUGAGUUUUUUGGCUCUGGGGAUAGUAUGAUCGCAAGAUUGAAAAUUAAAGAAAUUGACGGAAGAAUACCACAAGGAGUGGAUUGUGCGGCUUAAUUUGACUCAACGC